UCACUUAAUUUUUCCUUACCUCUCUCAAAUCCUCUUCCUAUUCUCUUUCCUAUACUUGUCUUAAAAACUCUUGACUUGUCUUAACUAAAAAGACUUAUCUUAACUAAAAAAGACUUAUCUUAAUAAGAGAAGGAAGAGAAUUGGAGUUGACUUGGAUAAAUGGGACUCUCGGAUGAAUCUUAUUUAUAAUUAGAGAGAAGGUGCCACUUAAACAACACAUCCCA
RNAcentral lists this long non-coding RNA (224 nucleotides) under Elaeis guineensis (African oil palm). RNAcentral describes it as "long non-coding RNA (EGUI_LNC040760)". The record is from RNAcentral. Lineage: Eukaryota; Viridiplantae; Streptophyta; Magnoliopsida; Arecales; Arecaceae.